UUCCUGCGCCUGCUGCGGGCAGAUCCAGUGGAUAUGGGUAUCGACGCCGCCUGCGGUGACGAUCCUGCCUUCCCCGGCGAUCGCUUCCGUUCCGACGCCAAUCGGGAUCGUUACGUCAGGCUGAAUGUCGGGAUUACCGGCUUUGCCGAUGGCGAAGAUCCUGCCGUCUUUAAUGCCGAUAUCCGCUUUAACGAUCCCCCAGUGAUCGACAAUCAGCGCGUUAGUGAUCACCAGAUCCACGCAGGCUUCGGCGCGCAUCUGGCCCUGUCCCAUGCCGUCGCGGAU
This is a small RNA of Citrobacter rodentium ICC168, 285 nucleotides long. It matches the Rfam family "5' ureB small RNA". Lineage: Bacteria; Pseudomonadati; Pseudomonadota; Gammaproteobacteria; Enterobacterales; Enterobacteriaceae. The record is from Rfam.